AUUGAACGCUGGCGGCAGGCCUAACACAUGCAAGUCGAGCGGAUGAAGGGAGCUUGCUCCUGGAUUCAGCGGCGGACGGGUGAGUAAUGCCUAGGAAUCUGCCUGGCAGUGGGGGAUAGCGUCCGGAAACGGGCGCUAAUACCGCAUACGUCCUGAGGGAGAAAGUGGGGGAUCUUCGGACCUCAUGCUAUCAGAUGAGCCUAGGCCGGAUUAGCUAGUUGGUGGGGUAAAGGCCUACCAAGGCGACGAUCCGUAACUGGUCUGAGUGGAUGAUCAGUCACACUGGAACUGAGACGCGGUCCAGAGUCCUGCGGGAGGCGGCAGUGGGGAAUAUUGGACAAAGGGCGAGAGCCUGAUCCAGCCAUGCCGCGUGUGUGAAGAAGAUCUUCGGAUUGUGAAGCACUUUAAGUUGGGGGGAAGGGCAGUAAGUUAAUACCUUGCUGUUUUGACGGUACCGGGAGAAUAAGCACCGGCUAACUUCGUG
This 484-nucleotide ribosomal RNA is filed under the name uncultured bacterium. Its description in RNAcentral is "partial 16S ribosomal RNA". It matches the Rfam family "Bacterial small subunit ribosomal RNA", at positions 30 to 507 of the family's 1533-position model. The record is from RNAcentral.